ACGGAUGUGGUGAAAUGGUAGACACGUCAUAUUUAGGAUAUGUUGGUUUAUACUAUGUGGGUUCAAAUCCCACCAUCCGUA
This is a non-coding RNA of Coemansia brasiliensis, 81 nucleotides long. NCBI's taxonomy places the organism in Eukaryota, Fungi, Kickxellomycota, Kickxellomycetes, Kickxellales, Kickxellaceae. The record is from the annotation of a GenBank genome assembly.